GGGGCUGUUAUUGGUUUCGACGGUAAGUAUGAGGCUAUGAUUGCAAGUGGAAGGUACUCCUUACGUACAAACAAAAAAUAAAUAACAACAAUAAUAAUUAUGCUUUCGCAGCUUGUGCUGCCUAGUCUCUAAUAGAGAAAGCGCUUCUUUUAAAGUUUUACUCACGGAUUUUUUAAGAGGCUCAUUUUAGUGAGUUAUAUUAUCUUGUUUGUUUAGGAUAAGAUAAAGAAUUUUACUAAACUCGUUAUUUGGUGGGUAUGUUAGUUACCUUUAUCAUUUAAUUAAAUUUAAUUACUAACUAAACUUGUAGACGUCAUAGAGUACUAUUUAUCGGACACGAGUUCAAAUCUCGUCAGCUCCACCA
Clostridium sp. CAG:594 is the source of this 364-nucleotide non-coding RNA. The record is from Rfam. NCBI's taxonomy places the organism in Bacteria, Bacillati, Bacillota, Clostridia, Eubacteriales, Clostridiaceae.